RNAcentral lists this ribosomal RNA (139 nucleotides) under uncultured eukaryote. RNAcentral's name for it is "partial 18S ribosomal RNA". It matches the Rfam family "Eukaryotic small subunit ribosomal RNA", at positions 1299 to 1458 of the family's 1831-position model. The record is from RNAcentral.
UGGUGGGUUGCCUUGUCAGGUUGAUUCCGGUAACGAACGAGACCUCAGCCUGCUAAAUAGUUACUCCUACUUUGGUAGGAGGCGAACUUCUUAGAGGGACUAUUGGCGUUUUAGCUAAUGGAAGUGUGAGGCAAUAACA